UGAGGAACAUGACCUUCGGCGGGGGAUAGCCGGCCCAACGGCCGGGUAAUACCGCGUACGACCACAUGGGACACCCCUGAGUGGUGAAAGCAGCAAUGCGCCGAUGGAGUGCCUCGCGGCCUAUCAGCUAGUUGGUGAGGUAACGGCUCACCAAGGCGACGACGGGUAGCUGGUCUGAGAGGAUGGCCAGCCACAUUGGGACUGAGACACGGCCCAGACUCCGUAGGGAGG
This 231-nucleotide ribosomal RNA is filed under the name uncultured bacterium. Its description in RNAcentral is "partial 16S ribosomal RNA". It matches the Rfam family "Bacterial small subunit ribosomal RNA", at positions 118 to 348 of the family's 1533-position model. The record is from RNAcentral.